RNAcentral lists this ribosomal RNA (518 nucleotides) under Mydas clavatus. RNAcentral describes it as "partial 16S ribosomal RNA". It matches the Rfam family "Bacterial large subunit ribosomal RNA", at positions 1824 to 2602 of the family's 2925-position model. The record is from RNAcentral. Lineage: Eukaryota; Metazoa; Arthropoda; Insecta; Diptera; Mydidae.
UGUCCUUUUGAAGUUAGUAUAAGGUCUAGCCUGCCCGCUGAAUGGUAUUGAAGGGCCGCAGUAUUUUAACUGUGCAAAGGUAGCAUAAUCAUUAGUCUUUUAAUUGAAGGCUGGUAUGAAUGGCUGGACGAGGUAUAAUCUGUUUCAUUUGCAGUGAUUAGAAUUUUAUUUUUUAGUAAGAAAGCUAAAAUGAAUUUAAAAGACGAGAAGACCCUAUAGAGCUUUAUUAAUUGGUGUUUUAUAAUGAUGAAGAUGAAUUUUAUUAUAAAUUAUAAGUUAAUUUUGUUGGGGUGAUGUUGAGAUUGAUGUAACUCUUAUUAGUUAAAGAUACAUUAAUAUAUGAAUGUAUGAUCCAUUAUUGAUGAUUAAAAAUUUAAGUUACCUUAGGGAUAACAGCGUAAUUUUUUUGGAGAGUUCAUAUCGAUAAAAGAGAUUGCGACCUCGAUGUUGGAUUAAGAGAUAGAUUUGGGUGUAGUAGUUCAAAUUUAAAGUCUGUUCGACUUUUAGAAUCUUACAUG